Long non-coding RNA from Gallus gallus (chicken), 1785 nucleotides. Lineage: Eukaryota; Metazoa; Chordata; Aves; Galliformes; Phasianidae. The record is from Ensembl.
AAAUAGAUGCUCACCUGGUGCGACUCCAUUUCUCUUUGGCACCCAAAUUUAGGACCUUCCAGCCUGUGCUCAUAACUAAGCUUAUGAAAAUUUGUUUGCCCAGAGUUUUUAACCUUCCACCUUCUCCUGGCUAUGUGUAAAGCAAAAUGCAGACAAACCCAUCAAAACUAAGGUGGGUUGUUCCUGGACUGCCAAGAGAAAUCAAACUCAGCAGACAGUAGGUGUGAAAUUUAGGAACUGUGAUGGAUAAUGGGGCUUGUGUCUGUCUUCAACAGCAAACUCCAUUUUGAAGGGGAAUUUUCAGCUGUUUUCAUGGAAGUCUCCCCUCGGGUUAUGCUAACCUUCCAGAGGGUGGUAAUAAAGUGCAACUGAGUGGGACAGCUGUCUUUUCAUAGAGGUUUUUCACCAGCUCUAUGACGAUCUCUGUUCUUAAAUCACCCGCACCUCUGACAUGCAUUGGGUGCAGUGUGACAGAAGCUCAGUUUAUAGGAGUGGGGUUUGCAGCCACUUGUCCUUGGAUUGAGAUCAAGAAACUGUGCUGUAGUUCCCCAGCCUUGUAGCACCAGCAUAGAGCCACUGCUGCAUCUGACAACUGCUUCCUCCACUCACCUUUUUGUCAACGGGGACGGGGGCUUCAGCCUGUCUUUGUCCAGCACAUUUCUAAGGUUUGCUGUUAUUUCUGAUUCUUCUUUCUCUCAGAAAAAUUGUAAUUUUUAAAUAUGUCUCUAUUCGUCAAGCCAGAAUGGCUUUGAGAAGGGCCUAACUCAAAGAUUUCAAACAGUAGGGUUUGGUUUUACUGUAGAUGUCAGCUGCAUUGCUGUGAAGGGGAAAAAAUGAUUCUAACAACCAGUUUAUCAUGAGUGAUGGAACAGUGGCACUCUAGAGAGUCAACGUUUGCAAGCUCGGGAUCAUGCAACAGAGGGAUGUGGACUUUUAAAAUGGAAACAAUUGUCAAAGUGUGCGAUGUUCUUGUGAGCCAUGCUGUGUGGUCAGUUCUCAGGUGUAGAGAGGAACUGCUGGGGAAGGAAGGAGGGACCUGUACGGUGACCGCCUUCAGAAAGUGGCAAUCUGAUUCAUGGCCAUAUCUAAGAAAAACCCAUGUGAAGUGAGAAAAAAAUUGCAACCAGUAACAAAGGAAGUAUCCCAGAGAUGGGUUCAUGGAGGCCCAGGCAUGGACCCGCAUGGGAAGGUCAAGACUGGAAAGGAAAACAGAGAGUUGAUAGUUUUUAAUCAUCCAUGAUAAGGCAGGUCAUCUGCAGAACUGCAACAACUUCCUUUAACUCAAUAAUGGCGGGAUUCAUUUGAAACAACCUCUGAGGUAAAAUAAGCCCAUGCAAUGGCAAGGCCUGCAGGGAAACCAGCAGAGCCACUGGGCUGCACAAAGCCUGGCUGGCUGCCUCACACUGCGAAAUACACAGAAUGCAAGCUCUACAGAAACGUGUGUAGAGGUGGCAGAGAUGCACCUUGAAGGACAUGUAACAAUAUAGACCACACAAAGUAUCAGUUAUUUCAUCUUUCUCUCCUCCCUUCUCCUCCCGUUCCCUUCAAUUUAUCAAAAUAGACUAAUCCCAGAGAGUAGUGAUAAAGAGUGGUAGAGCUCUGUCUCUCCACUCAGAAGCAUCUCUGUGUGAUCUGCUGGUAGACGCGACCUGAAGUAAACAGCGUUGGCUGGAGUGUGCCAUUUUGUAACUAGGUGGUUUUACUGUGUUUUCAGGUUAUGUGGCAAGUGAGACCAACUCCUCUCUUUUUGUAAUUCCUAAUAAAUAGCCUCUUUCUAGAUUUCCU